AUUGAACGCUGGCGGCAGGCCUAACACAUGCAAGUCGAACGGUAACAGGAAGAAGCUUGCUUCUUUGCUGAUGAGUGGCGGACGGGUGAGUAAUGUCUGGGAAACUGCCUGAUGGAGGGGGAUAACUACUGGAAACGGUAGCUAAUACCGCAUAACGUCGCAAGACCAAAGAGGGGGACCUUCGGGCCUCUUGCCAUCGGAUGUGCCCAGAUGGGAUUAGCUAGUAGGUGGGGUAACGGCUCACCUAGGCGACGAUCCCUAGCUGGUCUGAGAGGAUGACCAGCCACACUGGAACUGAGACACGGUCCAGACUCCUACGGGAGGCAGCAGUGGGGAAUAUUGCACAAUGGGCGCAAGCCUGAUGCAGCCAUGCCGCGUGUAUGAAGAAGGCCUUCGGGUUGUAAAGUACUUUCAGCGGGGAGGAAGGGAGUAAAGUUAAUACCUUUGCUCAUUGACGUUGCCCGCAGAAGAAGCACCGGCUAACUCCGUG
This 490-nucleotide ribosomal RNA is filed under the name uncultured bacterium. RNAcentral describes it as "partial 16S ribosomal RNA". It matches the Rfam family "Bacterial small subunit ribosomal RNA", at positions 30 to 507 of the family's 1533-position model. The record is from RNAcentral.